RNAcentral lists this long non-coding RNA (1788 nucleotides) under Mus musculus (house mouse). Its description in RNAcentral is "long non-coding RNA chr12:88755711-88757499". The record is from RNAcentral. Lineage: Eukaryota; Metazoa; Chordata; Mammalia; Rodentia; Muridae.
GCAUCCGAUGUGUAUCCUAUCACUAUCAUAGCAACCCACCACGGUGGAUAGGAUUAGCAGUCACCAGGGGGCAAAGUUAUCAAAACCCUUGAAUAAAGAGUUCAGACAGCUAGUAAGUAAGAUAGACAUAGCACCAGAGCCCUGGUCCAUCCUGUGUUGGUGUUCUCUCUGUAUUGUGGGAGCUCAGAGUCUGUUACCACUGUAGACACUGGAGAUGGCAUAGACAAACAAAGGUUCCCUUCAGAGUUCCUGUGCCUGUUUCUGCUCAGACAAUGCUUCCAUUCCUAUUCGUAUCCAAAGCAUCCCCUCCUGAUGGUGCAUCACUGGGAUGGGUGGGUCUGAGUUGCUCAGGAGUAUUGAUGGUAUACCGCCCUUUGCUUCGAGCUUCUAUUGGGACCCCAGGGAGAAUCUUCCUGAGGACAAACACUAGGUUCCCUUGCUAGUGUUUCUCUGUUGGAAGGUAUUCUCCACUGUAGCUAUUUUAGGGUUAGACACCAGUAACUUGUGGCCUGGGAGUCUAGAAGUCUCCCUCUGAUUGUAAUCACUGUUAAUUAACUUGGCUUAGUUUCUAACUGGGUAGGAAGUGUUGCAGGUACAUUUGCUGCUUCUCAGUCAUCCUUUUCCUCUUGGGUUUGUGACCCAUGGCUUUUGAGGGUAGCAUCAUUAAAGUGGUAUAAUUCACUAUUCAUACAUACAUACAUACAUACAUACAUAAUGAAUAUAUAUACUUACAUUUUAAGUGAACAUAACAUAUGGUUCCCUAUGACUUUAAAAAUAUCCUUAGUGUUAUUUAUCUCUUUUUUUUCUCCCUCUGUACUGCCCCUUCCUCCACAACAAAAGUUCUCUUCUCAAGUUUUCCUGAUGUCCUUUCAUAGAGCCUGUGUCCUGCCACCCCACUCUCCAGAGACCCUUCUCCCUCCUGCCCCUAUUCCACUUGUUACCUUUCUACUUUUCUGGUUUCUGUUGUUGCUCAAGGCUAUAUACUCACAUCUAAAGAUUUGGAGAUAAGAUCCACAAACAAGAGAGAAAAUGUGACAUUUGUCUUUCUGGCUAUGGGUUGUCUGCUUCAACAUAGUAUUUUCUAGUUUCAUUUAUUUACAUGAAAAAUCUCAUGAUUUAAUUUCUCUUUACAGGUGAAUGGUAUUCUAUAGUAUAUAGGUUCCACAUUUUCCUUAUCCAUUUAUCGGUUGAAGGACAUUUAGAUUGUUUCCAUCUCUGAGCGACUGUGCAUAGAACAGCAAUGAACUAAGCUGAGCAAGUAGAUAUGGAGAAGGGUGUUGAGUCCUUUGGCUGAUGCUGAGGAGUGGGAUAGCUACGUCAUCUGGUCCACUUUUACCUUUUUGAUAAUUCUUCACACUGAUUUCCAUAGUGGCUGUAACAGUAUGCAAUUCUAGCGACAUUGAGUGAGGGUUCACCACAUCCCGAUGAGCAUCUGUCAAUUGUUUUCACACACAUAUAUGAAAACUGCAAAAAUGGUGAACAUAGAAAGGCACCAAGUAGGAUGGGGGUGUCUCUAGAGUGGGAGUUUGUAGGACACAGGGGCUAUGAAGGGGCAUGAGAAGAGCUAGAGGAGGGGGCUUUUACUGGGGAGGAGGGAGAACAGUAUAGAGGGAGAGAAAAGGGAUAAAUAACACUAAGGAUAUUAUAAUGUAUAUAAAUGAUUCAAUAUAUUCUGAUCACAGUUUCCCCUGCCCCAACUCCUCCCAGAUGACCCCCACCCAUUCAAAUUCAUGCUGUUUCUUUCUUUUUCUCUUCAGAAAACAAAUAAACAGGCAAACAAACAAACCA